GAAAAGUUUUCCAAAGAUGAAUCACCAGAUCAUACCAAAGGAAUAACAUUCAACAGGAAGAUAAUGAGUGUUGAGAGUUCAGUCACUGAGGGAGGGCUACUCCAGGCUUUAGAUGGAUGCUUCCCGGCUGGAUCAUUCGCGGUACCAAGCAUCCAUGCAUAGAGGCGUCGAUUCAGAGACAUGUCUCUCCUGAGCAGAGAAAUCUGGGACAAGUUCAUGUGUGAUGACCACACAAAUAUAGAUGGACGUGAAGAAAGAAAGAAAAAGAAGAGGGAUAACCUGGCAGGAUGUGAAAGGGAAGAAGUAGAGAAGGAUUUCCAACAUGUUUCUCUGGAC
This is a long non-coding RNA of Cyprinus carpio (common carp), 336 nucleotides long. RefSeq lists it as uncharacterized. The transcript is spliced from 3 exons. The record is from RefSeq and is a predicted model, not a curated record. NCBI's taxonomy places the organism in Eukaryota, Metazoa, Chordata, Actinopteri, Cypriniformes, Cyprinidae.